GGUACCCUGCUGUGUUCGUGAUGAAGCAAGAGGUUUUGAGCCAACACUUACCAAAUGGGUUCUGAUGUCCGCUGCAUGACGCGAUAGGUUUCGGCCAAGGCGGAGUGCACUGGUAAGAACCCGCCUGCAAAUGCAGGUUCAAAAUCACGCUGCACACGGCACGGCGGGGAGUUA
This 174-nucleotide non-coding RNA is filed under the name Anaerolineales bacterium. RNAcentral's name for it is "6S RNA". It matches the Rfam family "6S / SsrS RNA". From Rfam's summary of the family: E. coli 6S RNA was the first non coding RNA to be sequenced, but its function was unknown until recently. It consists of 184 nucleotides that fold into an extended hairpin structure with a large single-stranded internal bulge. The 6S RNA specifically associates with RNA polymerase holoenzyme containing the sigma70 specificity factor. The record is from RNAcentral. Lineage: Bacteria; Bacillati; Chloroflexota; Anaerolineae; Anaerolineales.